Amphiprion ocellaris (clown anemonefish) is the source of this 779-nucleotide long non-coding RNA. Lineage: Eukaryota; Metazoa; Chordata; Actinopteri; Pomacentridae. The record is from Ensembl.
AGAGGAAAAAGAACAAAGUGUGAAAAUAGCAAAGUGUGAGACAAGAGGAAAAAGAACACUGCUUUCCUCAUGUGUUUGUUUGUUUGUUUCAGAUGCUGAGAGACCAAGCGGUGGACGUCCAGAGAGCAGAGAUGCUGAGAGACCAAGCGGUGGACGUCCAGAGAACAGAGAUGCUCAGAGACCAAGCGGUGGACGUCCAGAGAGCAGAGAUGCUGAGAGACCAAGCGGUGGACGUCCAGAGAGCAGAGAUGCUGAGAGACCCAGCGGUGGACGUCCAGAGAGAAGAGGUGAGUUAGACUCAUACAUUGUCACGUAGGUGAUGGGUGUCUUGUGUAUCAUUUUAUUGCGGUGAUUUGCUUUGAUUACUUUGUCAUACAUUGAAGACAUGGGACUUUGCUCAUAUUUGUCUUUUAUUUGUUUCAGGGGGUGGCAGGUUGACAGAGAAAGACAGAGUGGUCGACAUGUUGAAGACAACCGAGCUGAUUGUUUGUGUUCUGGAGCUGCCACAGACUUGCUGUGGAAGCACUUCUUCUUCUUCUUCUUCUUCUUCUUCUUCUUCUUCUUCUUCUUCUUCUUCUUCUUCUUCUUCUUCUUCUUCUUCUUCUUCUUCUUCUUCUUCUUCUUCUUCUUCUUCUUCUUCUUCUUCUUCUUCUUCUUCUUCUUCUUCUUCUUCUUCUUAAUGGAAUUUCAGCCUAAAUAAAAAAAAAAAAAAAAAAAAAAAAAAAAGAGUCCAAACUGCAUUGUGGUCAAUUUUUUGAAAAGAAAAACAGUAAAGUGUG